GACGAACGCUGGCGGCGUGCUUAACACAUGCAAGUCGAACGGAAAGGCCCUGCUUUUGUGGGGUGCUCGAUUGGCGAACGGGUGAGUAACACGUGAGUAACCUGCCCUUGACUUUGGGAUAACUUUAGGAAACUGGGGCUAAUACCGGAUAGGAGCUCCUGCUGCAUGGUGGGGGUUGGAAAGUUUCGGCGGUUGGGGAUGGACUCGCGGCUUAUCAGCUUGUUGGUGGGGUAGUGGCUGACCAAGGCUUUGACGGGUAGCCGGCCUGAGAGGGGGACCGGCCACAAGGGGACUGAGGUAGGGCGCAGACUCCUACGGGAGGCAGCAGUGGGGAAUAUGGCACAAUGGGCGGAAGCCUGAUGCAGCAACGUCGCGUGCGGGAUGACGGCCUUCGGGUUGUAAACCGCUUUCGCCUGUGACGAAGCGUGAGUGACGGUAAUGGGUAAAGAAGCACCGGCUAACUACGUG
RNAcentral lists this ribosomal RNA (468 nucleotides) under uncultured bacterium. Its description in RNAcentral is "partial 16S ribosomal RNA". It matches the Rfam family "Bacterial small subunit ribosomal RNA", at positions 28 to 507 of the family's 1533-position model. The record is from RNAcentral.